UACGAAGGGGGCUAGCGUUGCUCGGAAUUACUGGGCGUAAAGCGCACGUAGGCGGCUUUCUAAGUCGGGGGUGAAAUCCUGGAGCUCAACUCCAGAACUGCCUUCGAUACUGGAGAGCUCGAGUCCGGGAGAGGUGAGUGGAACUGCGAGUGUAGAGGUGAAAUUCGUAGAUAUUCGCAAGAACACCAGUGGCGAAGGCGACUUCCUGGCCUGUUCUUGACGCUGAGGCGCGAAAGCUAGGGGAGCAAACGGG
RNAcentral lists this ribosomal RNA (253 nucleotides) under uncultured bacterium. Its description in RNAcentral is "partial 16S ribosomal RNA". It matches the Rfam family "Bacterial small subunit ribosomal RNA", at positions 524 to 776 of the family's 1533-position model. The record is from RNAcentral.